AGUGAACGCUGGCGGUAGGCCUAACACAUGCAAGUCGAACGGCAGCACAGUAAGAGCUUGCUCUUACGGGUGGCGAGUGGCGGACGGGUGAGGAAUACAUCGGACUCUACUUUUUCGUGGGGGAUAACGACGGGAAACUUACGCUAAUACCGCAUACGACCUACGGGGGAAAGCAGGGGAUCUUCGGACCUUGCGCGAUUGAAUGAGCCGAUGUCGGUUUAGCUAGUUGGCGGGGUAAAGGCCCACCAAGGCGACGAUCCGUAGCUGGUCUGAGAGGAUGAUCAGCCACACUGGAACUGAGACACGGUCCAGACUCCGACGGGAGGCAGCAGUGGGGAAUAUUGGACGAUGGGCGCAAGCCUGAUCCAGCCAUACCGCGUGGGUGAAGAAGGCCUUCGGGUUGUAAAGCCCUUUUGUUGGGAAAGAAAAGCAGCAGGUUAAUACCCCGCUGUUCUGACGGUACCCAAAGAAUAAGCACCGGCUAACUUCGUG
Molecule: ribosomal RNA, 492 nt
Filed under: uncultured bacterium
Lineage: Bacteria
Description: partial 16S ribosomal RNA
Rfam family: Bacterial small subunit ribosomal RNA
Source: RNAcentral